Molecule: long non-coding RNA, 409 nt
Filed under: Homo sapiens (human)
Lineage: Eukaryota; Metazoa; Chordata; Mammalia; Primates; Hominidae
Description: non-protein coding lnc-SEMA4D-6:3
Source: RNAcentral
UGUGCCCCUCCCUUCCCUGCUGCAGCCACCCGGAGUCCAAAGGCAAGGCUUUAGGAAGGAGAACACAGAGUAAGGAGGAAAAUACAACCUGAUCGUGUUAGCUCAUUCGAUCAUGGAGUCUGUCUAUUGUAGUUUCACCAAAGAAGAAUCCUUUGACAUUCUGGGUAACGGGCAUAAUCCUGGUGGCAACAUUCCCAAAACUGAGUGGAGGGCUGAGUGGGAGGGAUCUGACUAUUCAGAAAGCAGGUUUUCACUUAAUUCACCUGCUCUCCAUCUAGGUUCUGUGUCCUCAACUCCGACUGGAAUCUCCAAGUUCAGAGCCUCCUGGGUCAGUGUCUCCAAGGAGUAACUCUCCUGCCUUCUGCAGGGUGGCUGUGCCACACCCUGGCCUUUGGUGCUUCUGAUUGCA